CCUUGACCGAUCCAAAAGUGCGGGACAAGUGCUUUUUCGCGUCGAAUAUCUGGAUCUUUUUUCCGGCGAGCGUCGUCCACGCGCCCGGUGCCGGGUUGCAGCCGCGAAUCAGGUUGUAAAUGAAAUCGACGUGAUUGGCCCAAUUGAUGCGCGCCUCGGCGGCGCGGCACCAUCCUUCAUAGCUCGCCUGCGCCUCGUCCUGCACCGCCUCGGUCUGUCUGCCGGCGAUGACGAGGUCGGCGGCCUCGAGCAUCGCGGCAACGCCCAUCGGAAACAGGCGAUCGAAGUAGACGCUGCC
Molecule: unclassified non-coding RNA, 298 nt
Filed under: uncultured bacterium
Lineage: Bacteria
Description: contains 16S-23S intergenic spacer region
Source: RNAcentral